This 240-nucleotide long non-coding RNA is filed under the name Nicotiana benthamiana. RNAcentral's name for it is "long non-coding RNA (NBEN_LNC013972)". Lineage: Eukaryota; Viridiplantae; Streptophyta; Magnoliopsida; Solanales; Solanaceae. The record is from RNAcentral.
UGUGUCUUCUUGUAAUGAUGACUUUUUGUCUGAUCACAAGGCUGUUUCUAUGCAUUCUCAUGUAAAUAGUUCCACUUGUAAUAAUGAUUUUACAUCUGAUAUGAAUUACAUUUGGCACUUAAGACUUGCACAUACUCCUUUUGCAAAUAUGAAAUGCAUUUCUGGUUUGUCUUUUCCAUUUGUUUCCAAACAACCCUUUCCCUGUACAGUCUGUCCUAUGGCCAGACAGACUAGGCUUCC